This 284-nucleotide long non-coding RNA is filed under the name Erythranthe guttata (spotted monkey flower). RNAcentral describes it as "long non-coding RNA (EGUT_LNC003007)". Lineage: Eukaryota; Viridiplantae; Streptophyta; Magnoliopsida; Lamiales; Phrymaceae. The record is from RNAcentral.
GGGGUGGCAGUUUGCCCAUUAUGUACGGAUAACUUUGAGGGCAAUGUAAGUUGGGGCUUGCAAGUUUUUAAACUGCUGUUCAUGGUUGGAUUAUGAUUGAUCCAAAUAAUGAGUUAAUCAUUUUCAGCAAAGCAGAACAAAAUAAUGUCUCCACAUAUCUACGAUAGAAAAUUAAAACCCAUAACUAAAACAUUGAUCAGAGGGCUCAGUUCAUAUCGAAGAAACACGAACCCAACCGAGUUUGAGCAUAUCAAACUGCAUUACGUGAAUACCUCGUCCCAAAC